GGCCCGUUGGUCUAGCGGUAGGACGUCAGCCCCUCAAGCUGACAGGGCGGGUUCGAUUCCCGCACGGGUCA
Molecule: transfer RNA, 71 nt
Filed under: Planctomycetaceae bacterium
Lineage: Bacteria; Pseudomonadati; Planctomycetota; Planctomycetia; Planctomycetales; Planctomycetaceae
Description: tRNA-Glu
Rfam family: tRNA
About the family: Transfer RNA (tRNA) molecules are approximately 80 nucleotides in length. Their secondary structure includes four short double-helical elements and three loops (D, anti-codon, and T loops). Further hydrogen bonds mediate the characteristic L-shaped molecular structure. tRNAs have two regions of fundamental functional importance: the anti-codon, which is responsible for specific mRNA codon recognition, and the 3' end, to which the tRNAs corresponding amino acid is attached (by aminoacyl-tRNA synthetases). tRNAs cope with the degeneracy of the genetic code in two manners: having more than one tRNA (with a specific anti-codon) for a particular amino acid; and 'wobble' base-pairing, i.e. permitting non-standard base-pairing at the 3rd anti-codon position.
Source: RNAcentral